RNAcentral lists this ribosomal RNA (424 nucleotides) under uncultured bacterium. RNAcentral describes it as "bacterial SSU rRNA". It matches the Rfam family "Bacterial small subunit ribosomal RNA", at positions 356 to 773 of the family's 1533-position model. The record is from RNAcentral.
CGGGAAUUUUGGGCAAUGGGCGAAAGCCUGACCCAGCAGCGCCGCGUGAAGGAUGAAAUCCUUCGGGAUGUAAACUUCGCAAGAACAGGAAGAAUAAGCCGGUGACAACACCACCGGUGAUGACGGUACUGUUUGUAAGCUCCGGCUAACUCCGUGCCAGCAGCCGCGGUAAUACGGGGGGAGCAAGCGUUGUUCGGAUUUACUGGGCGUAAAGGGCGCGUAGGCGGCCACUGCAAGUCGAUUGUGAAAUCUCCGGGCUUAACCCGGAAAGGUCAGUCGAUACUGCAGGGCUAGAGUGCAGAAGGGGCAACCGGAAUUCUCGGUGUAGCGGUGAAAUGCGUAGAUAUCGAGAGGAACACCUGCGGCGAAGGCGGGUUGCUGGGCUGACACUGACGCUGACAGCGCGAAAGCUAGGGGAGCGAAC